This 253-nucleotide ribosomal RNA is filed under the name uncultured bacterium. Its description in RNAcentral is "partial 16S ribosomal RNA". It matches the Rfam family "Bacterial small subunit ribosomal RNA", at positions 524 to 776 of the family's 1533-position model. The record is from RNAcentral.
UACGGAGGGAGCUAGCGUUGUUCGGAAUUACUGGGCGUAAAGCGCGCGUAGGCGGCUUUGUAAGUUAGAGGUGAAAGCCCGGAGCUCAACUCCGGAACUGCCUUUAAAACUGCAUCGCUUGAAUCCAGGAGAGGUGAGUGGAAUUCCGAGUGUAGAGGUGAAAUUCGUAGAUAUUGGAAGAACACCAGUGGCGAAGGCGGCUCACUGGACCGGCAUUGACGCUGAGGUGGCGAAAGCGUGGGGAGCAAACAGG